CCUACGGGCGGCAGCAGUGGGGAAUAUUGGACAAUGGUGGGAACCCUGAUCCAGCCAUGCCGCGUGUGUGAAGAAGGCCCUCGGGUUGUAAAGCACUUUCAGUGAGGAAGAACGCCUGGUGGUUAAUACCCAUCAGGAAAGACAUCACUCACAGAAGAAGCACCGGCUAACUCCGUGCCAGCAGCCGCGGUAAUACGGAGGGUGCGAGCGUUAAUCGGAAUUACUGGGCGUAAAGCGCGCGUAGGUGGCUUGAUAAGCCGGUUGUGAAAGCCCCGGGCUCAACCUGGGAACGGCAUCCGGAACUGUCAAGCUAGAGUGCAGGAGAGGAAGGUAGAAUUCCCGGUGUAGCGGUGAAAUGCGUAGAGAUCGGGAGGAAUACCAGUGGCGAAGGCGGCCUUCUGGACUGACACUGACACUGAGGUGCGAAAGCGUGGGUAGCAAACAGGAUUAGAUACCCCUGUAGUC
This 465-nucleotide ribosomal RNA is filed under the name Vreelandella stevensii. Its description in RNAcentral is "partial 16S ribosomal RNA". It matches the Rfam family "Bacterial small subunit ribosomal RNA", at positions 338 to 795 of the family's 1533-position model. The record is from RNAcentral. Lineage: Bacteria; Pseudomonadati; Pseudomonadota; Gammaproteobacteria; Oceanospirillales; Halomonadaceae.